CACUUACUGCACUGCACGCAGCAAUUGCACGCUCUUCCUUGCACCUUUUCGCGUCUUCUCUGCACAGUCUGCACUUGACGCGAGAGACACACUCGAGCACGUCAGUUGUUCGGAUAUUGAUCCCUUCCCCCUUCCCCCUUCCCUUCUCUCGCAUUAAUCGACGUUCCAACUUCCAACGUGUAAAUAGAGAUUCGGAAUUUAAGUAAGUAUACGAAACAGCUGUCGUUUGAUUACGUUUGAUUUUAUCCCACCACAUCUUGAAUCAUCGCAAGGAGAGGCAGAAAAGUUCGUUGUACAAUCGAGUGGAAUUCGAUUUAUUCCUUUCAAUCCUUUGCGCACUUGCUGCAACUCGUGCUUCUUUUUUUUCAACCCCCAUCAAAAUAUAUUAUUGUACGUAUAUGAAUCUAUUAAGAUCAAAUGCAAAAAGUACAACGAAAAAUAAGAAAAAAAUUAUAUUUGUUUUGUUCGCGCGCUUUUAAUCGCAUUUAAAAAAAUCUUCCGCAUUUAAUUUCUUUGACUGCUAAAUUUUUUUUAGUAUUCAAAUAGAAAAUUCAUUUCAAUUUGAUUCAACCUUGCAAAAAUCUACAUUUCUGUAAGUAAUUAAUUAAUAAAUUAUUUUCCCUACGAUGAAAAAAAUAGUGCUUUGACGAGUGAGAAAUAAUAAUGGAAUCGACAUCGAAUCGAUUAUUAAUAUCGAUUCGUCGCAUUGAUCGUUUCGAUGUCGAUUCGAUAGGUGAUUUUUCGUUGGGCACAGUGGGGCACAGUGACGGCAGUGACCAGCAGCGACUGGUGACGGCACUGUCCUACAUUAAGCGCGGAAUUACAUCGAAUUGAAUCCAAGUAGAUAUGGUAGAUAUGUUAGCGCGGGAAACGAGGGCGUAACGCGAACGCUCGGCGCAACGGGAUCUGCGGGAUGCGAUGGGGUUUCGUCGUUUCUUUCAACUUUCUUGUCUUCCGCGAGGCCCGCGGUCACAUCCUUGAGCGUCUACGGGACGUCGCCGACAUUGGGCGCGGCGAGGGAGAGAAGAGAUGCGUAUCGGAAUUAAUUAUC
This is a long non-coding RNA of Solenopsis invicta (red fire ant), 1051 nucleotides long. RefSeq lists it as uncharacterized. The record is from RefSeq and is a predicted model, not a curated record. NCBI's taxonomy places the organism in Eukaryota, Metazoa, Arthropoda, Insecta, Hymenoptera, Formicidae. The transcript is spliced from 2 exons.